UGUUUUGCAUGUCUGCGAGUGCUUUUGAUUUUAAGUAUAAUUAAGAAAUGUACAUUGUUUUGUUUUUUUUUUUAUUUCAAAAGAGCUGAAUGGGCACCGUGCAAAGUACGCAGUGGGAGGGGCUCAGUUGUCUGAAUUACAUUAAUUUCUCAGCUUGGAAGCACCCUGCGGAAGAGAAGUGAAAACAACAGCAGAACCUGCCAUCUUAUUGUAACUGCUGUAUGCCUUUGGAAAUGAAAAUAUUUGCCCACCAGUGUCACUGGAAUUAUAAACUAUUUUAAAGUGCAAAGUGGCAUUUUAGCCAUGAAUAGGCCACUUGAGGGCUGUGACAAGAAAGAAGAGUUUUCCAAAAAUGGAGAAAAUUACACAAAAAUGACAUGUUUCUGG
Xenopus tropicalis (tropical clawed frog) is the source of this 387-nucleotide long non-coding RNA. RefSeq lists it as uncharacterized. The record is from RefSeq and is a predicted model, not a curated record. Lineage: Eukaryota; Metazoa; Chordata; Amphibia; Anura; Pipidae. The transcript is spliced from 3 exons.